GACGAACGCUGGCGGCGUGCUUAACACAUGCAAGUCGAACGGAAAGGCCCUGCUUGCAGGGUACUCGAGUGGCGAACGGGUGAGUAACACGUGGGUGAUCUGCCCUGCACUUCGGGAUAAGCCUGGGAAACUGGGUCUAAUACCGGAUAGGAGCCAUUUUUAGUGUGAUGGUUGGAAAGUUUUUUCGGUGUAGGAUGAGCUCGCGGCCUAUCAGCUUGUUGGUGGGGUAAUGGCCUACCAAGGCGGCGACGGGUAGCCGGCCUGAGAGGGUGGACGGCCACAUUGGGACUGAGAUACGGCCCAGACUCCUACGGGAGGCAGCAGUGGGGAAUAUUGCACAAGGGGCGCAAGCCUGAUGCAGCGACGCCGCGGGGGGGAUGACGGCCUUCGGGUUGGAAACUCCUUUCGCUAGGGACGAAGCUUUUUGUGACGGUUCCUAGAUAAGAAGCACCGGCUAACUACGUG
This 465-nucleotide ribosomal RNA is filed under the name uncultured bacterium. RNAcentral describes it as "partial 16S ribosomal RNA". It matches the Rfam family "Bacterial small subunit ribosomal RNA", at positions 28 to 507 of the family's 1533-position model. The record is from RNAcentral.